AUAGGAAUCUGAAAUCAUUUGACUCUCAAAAAUCCAUCUGGAAGAACCUUACACGUCCUGACUUCCUACAUCAAAAUCUGCAAAUAGGUACCCUAUGUAGUCCUCAGAGAAACUGCGAUUCCUAUUUUCAGAGACUUCAAAAGUUUUUAAAAUUUUCUAUGUAAGUUUUUAACUUAACUGGUAAGUGGGGUUUUAAAUUUCAUAGGAAUCUGAAACUAUUUGACUCCCGAAAAUCCAUCUGGAAGAACCUUACACGUCCUAACUUCCUACAUCAAAACUUGCAAAUAGAUACCCUGCACAGUCCUUAGAGAAACCGCGAUUUCUAUUUUCAGAGGCUUCAAAAAAUUUUCAAAUUUUUUGGGUAAGUUCUUAACUUGACCGCUAAGUGGGGUUUUAAAUUUGAUAGGAAUAUGAAACCAUUUGUCUCCCGAAAAACUAUCUGGAAGAACCUUACACGUCCUAACUUUUUGUAUCAAAACCUGC
This 483-nucleotide long non-coding RNA is filed under the name Elaeis guineensis (African oil palm). RNAcentral's name for it is "long non-coding RNA (EGUI_LNC015919)". Lineage: Eukaryota; Viridiplantae; Streptophyta; Magnoliopsida; Arecales; Arecaceae. The record is from RNAcentral.